GACGAACGCUGGCGGCGUGCUUAACACAUGCAAGUCGAACGGAAAGGCCCUGCUUUUGUGGGGUGCUCGAGUGGCGAACGGGUGAGUAACACGUGAGUAACCUGCCCUUGACUUUGGGAUAACUUCAGGAAACUGGGGCUAAUACCGGAUAGGAGCUCCUGCUGCAUGGUGGGGGUUGGAAAGUUUCGGCGGUUGGGGAUGGACUCGCGGCUUAUCAGCUUGUUGGUGGGGUAGUGGCUUACCAAGGCUUUGACGGGUAGCCGGCCUGAGAGGGUGACCGGCCACAUGGGGACUGAGAUACGGCCCAGACUCCUACGGUAGGCAGCAGGGGGGAAUAUUGCACAAUGGGCGGAAGCCUGAUGCAGCAACGCCGCGUGCGGGAUGACGGCCUUCGGGUUGUAAACCGCCUUCGCCUGUGACGAAGCGUGAGUGACGGUAAUGGGUAAAGAAGCACCGGCUAACUACGUG
RNAcentral lists this ribosomal RNA (468 nucleotides) under uncultured bacterium. RNAcentral's name for it is "partial 16S ribosomal RNA". It matches the Rfam family "Bacterial small subunit ribosomal RNA", at positions 28 to 507 of the family's 1533-position model. The record is from RNAcentral.